AGUGAACGCUGGCGGUAGGCCUAACACAUGCAAGUCGAACGGCAGCACAGUAAGAGCUUGCUCUUACGGGUGGCGAGUGGCGGACGGGUGAGGAGUACAUCGGAAUCUACUUUUUCUUGGGGGAUAACGUAGGGAAACUUACGCUAAUACCGCAUACGACCUACGGGUGAAAGCACGGUUUCUUCGGACCUUUCGCGUUUUUAUGAGCCGAUGUCGGUUUAGCUAGUUGGCGGGGUAAAGGCCCACCAAGGCGACGAUCCGUAGCUGGUCUGAGAGGAUGAUCAGACACACUGGAACUGAGACACGGUACAGACUCCUACGGGAGGCAGCAGUGGGGAAUAUUGGACAAUGGGCGCAAGCCUGAUCCAGCCAUACCGCGUGGGUGAAGAAGGCAUUCGGGUUGUAAAGCCCUUUUGUUGGGAAAGAAAAGCAGCAGGUUAAUACCCCGCUGUUAUGACGGUACCCAAAGAAUAAGCACCGGCUAACUUCGUG
RNAcentral lists this ribosomal RNA (492 nucleotides) under uncultured bacterium. Its description in RNAcentral is "partial 16S ribosomal RNA". It matches the Rfam family "Bacterial small subunit ribosomal RNA", at positions 29 to 507 of the family's 1533-position model. The record is from RNAcentral.